Molecule: long non-coding RNA, 1810 nt
Organism: Sinocyclocheilus anshuiensis
Lineage: Eukaryota; Metazoa; Chordata; Actinopteri; Cypriniformes; Cyprinidae
Exons: 3
Source: RefSeq, a predicted model, not a curated record
UGGGCGCUAUUACGAACAUUUAUCUAUUUAGCUGACAAAACAAGUAAACUCGGCCAGAACGACUCGGGGGUUUCUAAGAACAUCCCUUCCUAGUUUCUAUAUUUGGAAAUGACUUCGGAAACAGAAACUGCUCCCUAUCCAGUUCCACGUGUUUAACUUCGCUCCCUUUUAACGCAAAAGAAAAGCAUCGGGCAGCAGCAGGACGCUCGCAUGUGAGCGAUUCUACAUACUGCCACCCAUUGAUGAUCAUCAAUAGACUGGAGAAUGUCGGCAAAGAAUUUAACGCACAAUUGGCGUGUGUUGCUGAAAAUGGCAUCUCCCCCUGCACGGCCCCUGCUUACCUAGUAGCGUGACCAUGAAGCAAUGAACGAGCAGAGAGAGUCCUUACCAUGCACAGAGUAAGUCUGCUGCUCUAGACGCUUGCUCAUCUCACCAGCAGGAGCACGUAUAGCGUGCACUUAAAGAAACAAGAUCUCAUUCAAAUCAGCCAGAUGUUUCUUUCAAUCCCACAGUGCUUCUUUAUUCAUUCGAGAUUCCUUUAAAUGUUCAGAAGAAGCCACUGGAGACCUUCCUGUUCCCUUUUCCCAGCAGCUACUUGUUAAAGUAUUUAAAGCUUCCAGCAACCAGAUGCACUUCAUGGCGAUAGAUAAAGAAAACCCAUGCGCCAGGAGUUAAAAAGUCAAACAAGUAACAGCAUUGUCUACAAUUUCAAGAUGCUCUUGGAGGAAGUAAACAAGCAGACAUACAGACGUGAAAAUAAGAACCCUCUUCUUUCCCCCCCUUCCAUGUGACUGCAGAGGCAUAUGACUUCCAUAACUUCAUCGCUCAUUAACCGCUGAUGGCAGGACACAAUUGAGUGAGUGUUUGUAGAACUUGCCCUAGAUAUUCAGAUCUCAGUCCUUGGCUUUGGCUGUUGGGCAGAUCUUCUCCUGUUUCAGAUAGCUUCACCCUGCCUGACAACAGACCGUGCGGAACUUCACAUGAGAGUCCCAUGUAAGGAGUGAACUAUGGGAUGCAAAGGCUAGUUAUGACCAUUUAAAUCCCUUAACAAGCACCACAGAAAAACAAAAGACAGAUUAGCAUGAUUUACCAUGGCAGUGUUAUUAAAUUAGCUCAGACACAUGAGCCAACAAUUGAGUUAUUUAAAUGUGCACAGACAGUGGAAUAGCUAUGUAAGCACUGUGUAGCCUAUUCUUUGUCUAUUAAUGAUUUGGUACACCAGACUUUGUAAGGUCUUGAAUAGAGCUAGUAUUGAUUAGACCAAAAAUACAUAGGAAAUAGGCCUAGGCUAUCUUUAAAAAAAAAAAAACAAUAUUCCCUAUUAGCAUUAAGGUUAUGCUUGAACGACUUUAGGCUAGUCGUUGUGUGGGCUUGGCUGGGAUGUCGUUUAAAGCAAUGCAUUUAUAAAAUGUCUAAUUAAAUGAUUGAUUAUAUUAUGUUGUAUAUUUUAAAAUAACGCUGAUAACUCUCAAACAAUAAAGUGAAAACGAACAAAGUCCUAUUGUUGUCUGUGGUUCGUGUGUAAAUAAAAACUGAUGGUAUGAUGCCACCUAGUGGUUGAUUUCAUGCAUCCAGCAGACCGAUGUCUAGUUUCACUCAGCUUCUUACCUUCAAAUAAAAGACAACAAGCUCUAUUAAUGAACCUGAUGUCAUUUCUGUGUAAUGCUGGGAAUGAGAGCGAGGAUCAGCAUUAGACCUUGAGAAAGGACGCACACCAUUUAUGAGGAGACUUUUAAGGACACGAGGUGGGUGGGAGCUAGAUUUCCUCCUUGGCUUAGAAAAGACAACACAAUAUUUGCCAGCUUCAGAA